GCUAAGCAUCAGUUUUUACCCAUCUCACAGAGAAGAUAAUUAAGAGGAUGCUCAAAAGGAGGCUGGCUGGAAGAAAUAACCAAUCCAAAAUGCCUGUUGUUAAAUGGGUCAUAAAGGCCCUGGGAAAUCAAUAUUUGACUUUCUGUUUCAGGAAUGGUGGCUGCUACAUGCAGUUUUAGAUCAAUCUACUAUAGUCAUGCUGCCCUGAGACCCAGAUAAUUCCUCUGUGAACUCUGGACACUCCGAAGUAACUUCUAAUCCAGAGAUGAGGCCCAUGCCUGGAGCUGAGGCCAGAUGUGGAAGGCUCACAGGAUCCACAAGGGAGCUACUUGUGCAGGGCUCACUCUCGACUCCUUCCCACGGCUCCACAAACCAACGUGUCCAACUCAGCUUUCCAGGGCUUCAUUACAAGUUUUCCAGCCUCUCAAAGACGUGGUGACUGCGCCAAGGCACUCUACUGUUUCUGCAUCAAACAGCAAGACACUAAUGAUUGUCUGGACAAAAUCAGAGACGGCCUUGGACUCCGUGUGAGCAAUGACCGCCGGUGCCUGUGAGCAGGACUUCCCUGGGACACCAGGUACGUCACGUUCCACUCGACCGGCCCUCUCCUGUGCUCCAGUCAGGCCAGCCACACAGCCCUGUGCCCCUCUGCUUCCCUAACCCCAUGUGUCACCUGAUGCUACGGACCUCCUUCUAAGGCUUCUUUAUUCCAGAAUAAGAUGAGGAUGUUAGUAAUGCCUACCCAGAGGGUUGUGUGAACAUUACAUGAAAUUAGUUAUUUAAAAGUACAGAGUAAGCCCGCAACUAAAAGAUUUAUUUAUCUUGUAAUUUUCCUUUCCUGGUUCUUCUCUCUUCAUUCUACCUUUAUAUCUUCCAAUUAUCUCUCCCUCCCUCUCUCUCUCUCUCUCUCACACACACACAUACACGUUUGCAAAUCCCUGAAAGGCAGAGGCUCUGACUUGUUCAUUCAAGCAUUUCUUUCAGUGUCUAGCGUGUGUUUUGCUUAAGGCCACACUCCAUACAUGCUUGCAACACAGAACAACAUUAAUAAUAUAAUAGCUACUAGUAACAUUAUCUGAGCUCUUGGUAUGAGCCAGGCACUCUGCUAAUAAGUAUCAUCACCUCAUUUAAUUCUUACAACAAGUCUCUUAGACAAGUACUAUUUUCAUCCUCAUUUUAUGGGAAACUGAAGUUUAAAGACAUUCUGUAACUUGAUCAAGGUCACACAAGCUCAUAACUGGGCACCCAGGAUGCAAAGAAUCAGCCUAGUUUGGAGUUUCAGCUCUUAUUUGCCACAUGUUGAGUUGGUUUUCUCAGCUUUUGUCUCUUUUAGGCUGAGCUCUGUUAAGGGAUCAGCAUGUACCCACUCUUACAUGGAUGAUUUUAAGGACCUCGAUCUUUGGUGUUCCAGGAAGUUCAGAAGUAUAUGCAAACUCCAGUUUAUAGCUACUCAACAG
Molecule: long non-coding RNA, 1457 nt
Filed under: Bos indicus x Bos taurus (hybrid cattle)
Lineage: Eukaryota; Metazoa; Chordata; Mammalia; Artiodactyla; Bovidae
Description: lncRNA (ENSBIXG00000006423.1)
Source: RNAcentral